CAAUAUACUUCUCAAAUUUGAUUGUUCUAGGGUUUGGAGGAUCGUUGGAUGUGGCGGCUGUUUUGGAUUUUGUGGACUCUGGUAAGGAUUUGAUUGUUGCGGCUGAUGCGAGUGCGUCGGAUUUGAUUCGGAGUAUUGCGGCUGAGUGUGGAGUUGAUUUUGAUGAGGAUCCGUCUGCUGUGGUUAUCGAUCAUGGGAGCUAUGCUGUGUCAGGAACAUAAUCAGUAUAGGU
Molecule: long non-coding RNA, 232 nt
Organism: Helianthus annuus (common sunflower)
Lineage: Eukaryota; Viridiplantae; Streptophyta; Magnoliopsida; Asterales; Asteraceae
Exons: 3
Source: RefSeq, a predicted model, not a curated record